AGGACUUUUUUGCCACACAGCCUGGCACGAUUUGCUGACAGCACAUUGCGGUCAAUGGCAAUGACGUUAUUAGUGUUGAGCUGAGCGAGAGUCUUGUAGGUGGGUGCAGACGGGUUAUAGCUGGCACAAUAGGGGUAGCCGUUGUUCUCUGGGAAGCCGCCGGGGUUUUGGGGGCACGUGGUGCGCAGGUCGUAGUAGUAGGUGCCACUGCCUGAUCCCGAGUAAAGGACUUUGCUACCACCACUGCAUGGGCGGCGGGGGACAGAUCGGGGCGAAGUGUGACGGGCAGGGUGGUGUACACACGCUUGGGGGGUUAUUAGUAGUCUAAUAGUAGCUAGACUCUGUCACAGAAGCAACAACAGCAAGCAGAGCGUGUCGAGUUCGUACACGCACCCUCGGAGACAGGCAUGCAGAGGGCACAUGGCUGCACGUGCAGUACUGAUCCCAUCUACCUUCGCAGAGGUUCCUAUCGCACGUACAUAUGCCACAUAUACCGUGCUGAGGACAGUCCGGACAGCUAGCCGGCAGGGGGAAGACAGGGGACCUGACGACACACAUGCAUGUGUGUUAUGCAUGUGUGCGUAUAUGGUACAUACCCUUGCGGUGCAGGGCCAUUGCUGCCGCAUGGCACAUUGAUGACCUGGCCAACUUGCAGCCUGGCGGGGUUAACUCCCGGGUUCAAGGACUGAAUGACGUCCACGGUGGUGCCGCGCCGCUGAGCGAUGGCCCAAAAGGUGUCACCAGGCUGGAUGGUGUACGUGCAGCCUGUGUAAAUUGAGUGAGGCAAGGGAAACACCCUACUUAAGCAAGUGCAGCGCCGCUGUGGCUCAUUCGAUCAUCACAUACAAGUUGGGUGUCGGCUUCCUCGAAAAAGGGCGGGGCCCCUCUGCAUCGUACAGGCCGGUAGCUACAGUGGCACGUGUCACAAUUGAUGGGUAGUGUCAACGCGGUGGGAGAUGUGCUUUGUUGCAGCAGUGCUGAUGGUGUGAGAGCUAAGCUUGCACCGGCGGAAUCGUCAGCACCGCCUGAGGGCUCCACGCGAAUCACAUCCAUUCCGGGUGCAUGCCGCAUGGACAGUGCGGCAGACCGCAAGUCGGAAUGUCCGUGCGGGCAAAUGGUAACGAAAGCUGGGUGAAUUUCGGUGCUGUCUGUGAUGUUUAUCCCCGAAGCGCCAGCGGCCUCAGCAAUCCGCCCCACAGCCGCGGGCUUCAUCAGGGCACACCGCAAGUCUCAGGAGGCCCCGUGCAUUGGCCAAAGUAAAUGUACAAACAAGCAGCUUGUGUAUUUCAUAGAGGAAUGAAAGCAAAUUAUGUUGGCCUGCUGGUGGCAAGUCGGAUUGCCCAUGCCGGCAAAUGGUAACACAAGCUGGGUGUUCGAGUUAUCACACGCCGUCAUCUCAGAAUUCCAUUGUGAGAUACGCGGCAGCUCUCGGGAUGAAAUUUAGCGCGAGAGGCGUUGAUGUGACUUUUGAGGUCGGUGAAUGGAGGCAGCUAAACUUGUUUGUGCUCAUACGGUCUUUGUUAGCUACAUGCGAGAUACCUUGCAAAGAGAAUGCUGUAUAGUACCGAUAACGCGUUUCAGCCGGGUGAAAUAUUAUGUUUGGUCCGUUACACACUCAAGGCCUGGGAGUUCGAGUUAUCAUACGCCGUCAUCUAAGAAUUCAAAUAUGAGAUACGCGGUACCUUUUGAGAUUAAAUUUAGCGCGAGAGGCGUUGAUGUGACUUUGGCCUCGGUCAAUUGAGGCAGCCAAACUUGUUUGUGCUCAUACGAUUUUUGUUGGCUACAUGCGAGAUACCUUGCAAUAGAGAAUGCUGUAUAGUACCUUUAACGCGUUUCAGCCGGGCGAGAUAUUAUGUUUGGUCCGUUACACACACACACACACACACACACACACACACACACACACACACACGGACAUGGGCAAUCCUACAGGUCGGGGCCCCCCUGGGCGCUUCGCGCUGGGGCCCCGCCCAAAAAUAUCGCCUCAACACACUUCUGGCCACAGGUCUGCUGCACUUUUCUAAAGUGUGGUGCGUGUGUAGUGACUGCCUGCUGGGUAGAUGGGGAGGAUGCAACAGCAGACGCGCAGCAGCAGGCGUAUGUUCAUUAUGUGUACAACAGCUAGCUUGCAAUCAUGUAUGUGCCGUACUGGACAUAUCCGUCAAUACUACGAUAGCAAGCCAUCGGCGACGGCUUUCGGUUACCAUUUCUCUAUUUUAAUCCUAUGUUUCAUCACUAGCAUAUCAUAGUAUGCAUAUUAUGGGAUGGUGCCAGCGGUUGGACCCAACAGCUAUAAACGAAGUACCGUCCGGUGUUUCUCAGAGGGGGACUUUCGAGUUGAUUAGUUCACUACUGUUUUUAUUUACUCAGCAGCUGGUUCAGGGUUUGCAAAUUCACAAUAAAUUGCUGCGAAGGAUGAUUAUUUUAUUACCUCCUCCCUCUGAAACACUCAACAAACGCAAAAUGCAAGUGGGAUGACACCCAAGAACGAGCUAGCCAUAGGCCUAGGUAAUCCCCUUGUAAACGCUCCUUCGCCAGCUGUGUUCGCAAUAGCACCGCCUCUCAUUGACGAUCGAUCGCCUCCGGACUGCUGGGGAUGACAGACGAUGGCUCCGCCGUCACCACUUCCACACUACUAUUACUUUGACACAAAUCUUAAAAUCUGUAUGUUUUCUGAGUGAAACGAAUUUUUUUGACCAGGCUCGCCCCUUCCCACGGAAGCAAGCACGGCUUUCCUGCCUGCAGGUACCCCUCCGUCUGUACGACCCCUAAGCGGCCGCGGUAAGGCAACUACGCAAGAAAUCCUAAACAGGCAGUCAUGUGUCUAUAUACCUGCACCACCUGCGAGCAAGCAAGUGCAUGUGCUUACCUCUGGCAGGUGGAGCAGUGGAGGUCGGCGUUGAUCUGACCCAGCAGGCACACACGGUACGUAUGGGAUUGAUUAGAGGCACUGUGCUCUUGGUGAUAAGAAAUCGAAUUCCUUAAAACAAAUAAUAAAGUAAUUGGGUUUUUCGGCCCGGGGAAAAAGGAAUGGAUUCACGUCGCUCUGGCUGCCCACACAAGCUCAUUCCUUUUGGCCAUAGGUGGCCUGAAAGUCGUGUCCGGAAAUGCAUUAAUACCAGCACGAAUAGCAGUGAUCAUUAAUAAACCAACUGCACUCGGUAGAUUCUGGAACAUUAGGUGGUCGGCGGUGCUUGCGUGUUACGGUACAAGCACAUGUAGCCUAUGAGCUCCUAUUUCGUGUUUUCCCACGCAGUAAUUUCAUACAUACAUACAUACAUGUGCGUACGUACCCUCCUCCUCCUGAGCACGGCACAUUGAUGACCUGGCCGACUUGCAGCCUGGUGGGGACAACUCCCGGGUUCAAGGACUGAAUGACGUCCACGGUGGUGCCGCGCCGCUGAGCGAUGGCCCAAAAGGUGUCACCAGGCUGGAUGGUGUACGUGCAGCCUGCGUAAAUUGAGUGAGGCAAGGGAGACACCCUACUUAAGCAGGAGCAGCGCCGCUGCGGCUCAUUCGAUCAUCACAUAAAAUAUCGCCUCAACACACUUGUGCCCACAGGUCUGCUGCACUUUCCUAAAGUGUGGUGCGUGUGUAGUGACUGCCUGCUGGGUAGAUGGGGAGGAUGCAACAGCAGACGCGCAGCAGCAGGCGUAUGUUCAUUAUGUGUACAACAGCUAGCUUGCAAUAAUGUAUGUGCCGUACUGGACAUAUCCGUGAAUACUACGAUAGCAAGCCAUCGGCGACGGCGCUCGGUUACCAUUUCUCUAUUUUAAUCCUAUGUUUCAUCACUAGCAUAGCAUAUCAUAGCAUGCAUAUUCAUCUAUGGAAUGUUGCCACGUUUAGAGCUUGCAUAACCCAUCUGCAUAACAAAAUGUACAGUACAGAGCGGAGAGCUGAUCACUUGUCGGUUGCAGAGUGCGUUUCCUCCUUUCUGUCCCUAGGGCAUUAAAUUUAACUAUGUUAUAAUGUUCUCUAUCUGAUUUGUAAAUGGUCAUGAAGCCGCAUCCUUUGACAUGAUGAGUCCAACAGCCGACGUCGUUGGUUUCCAGUUGGAGCCCAGCCGACGCUCUGGGGAGCCCUCGGCCACAUCGCAACCGCCAAAAUGGAGUCCUCAAAAGCAACACAUACAUUUAGCCAGGCCGCAAAAACAGGCCUGGAAGGCUCCCGGAAGCUGGCAGGUGCAGGUGCCGCUCAGCUGCAUCAAGGUGCUUCAAGGCCCCAAACUACCUUGAAGCGUUAGGAUGGAUAAAAUGAAGAGUGUAGCUGCUGUAUUCUGGGCAUAUUACGGGAUCUGCGCCCGCCGAUCGAUACUUUUCUGACGCCGUGAUACAACUCUAGCACCGCUCAGCACCGCCGAGCAAUCAGUGCAAUCGUAGGUCAGUCGGCAUGCAGAUGUCAACAUAUGAUGUCAACAUUUAACCAUCCCACGUGCAUGCGUGCCGAGGCCUACCUCUUAAAGAGCAGGGCAAAUAUACAGUAUAUACUGACGUGAUGUCGGAAAAGCGAUGUAUGUGAUGGGAUUGAAUGACGGCACACCUACCUGAUGCCAGCAAGCGCCGGCUGCUGUCGCCAUCAGCGGCGCAUGUGUCGACGAUGAACGCGGAAGCGGCGACAGCUACGACAAGCAGCAGCAGGGUGCUGCUGAAGCGCGGCAUAUUUACUUCUCGAACCGAUCUACACUGUAUUGCGUUCGUAAAUUGCACGAUGUUUGAUGUACUGCUGUUUGAAGCUCUCCUAGCUGCUUUCAAGUGCGCAGACGCAUUCAACAUUAACCUCAGCGGAAGCUUUUAUGCAGCCCCUUGCAAAAACGUGAUUCAGGGUACGACCUGAAGAAACUGCCCGUACAAAGCAAAAUGCGAAGGCGACGGCGGGCCUCGCAAUUUGUGUAAAAUCCGCGGGCAUGCGAAAUUCGGCUUGGGCGGCUUAAGCGGCUUAAUUAAGCUUGGCAAGCAGAAAUCUUCAGAAUAAAUGAGCUGCUUAAGUGCGAAAAAGCAAAAACAAAGAAAAUAAAGCGAAAACAAAAAGACGGAUAAGGGCCGGGCUCCACUGAUUUGUUUGUUAGCGCGUUUCCAAAUUCCUGAAAAGACGCUAACGCGACACCUCGCCCCUUGACGCUUUUUAUUUCAAUGUUGCAUUACCUAUGAAUGAAAAUGGUAGAAAUGAUAAGAGAACGAAGGAAGCUGGGGCGACGGUGAAGAACGUAGGGCCCGUGUUGAGACAGGGCCCUGGUUAGGACAAAGCCAAUAAACUUUAACGCGAAAAUUUCUUUGCUCUAUUUUGAAUCGGCUUACGCCCAGUCCCCUUUGGAUAUCUCGCCUACGCUUUGAAGUGCUCGCCGCGUUGACUUUCGCUGACAUACAGCAGGACAACCUGCCGUCCCAGUUUCCCACCCCAACUUUGCCCACGCAGCUUUACAGUAUCCUUCAGUCUACAAUGGCGCAGCCCUUGCAGGGUCCGCCCCGUCGCCUCGACGCAUGGCACCAAGGACAUCAGAAGGGGCACCAGCCCGGUUACCAACAGCAAAAGAAUGUCCCCUCGCAUUUUGCUAUUGCAAUGUGCAACAGAAAUGCAGGAUAGGCGCCUUUGGGCGCUAAAAAACGGAAAAGGGUGGUUUCGGGGCGGCAAGCGGAAACGGAUUGGUAGCGGCGCAAUGAUUUUUUUUUCGAAGUUAACAAGCGACUCAGUGGAGCCCCCUGUAAGGAAUACACCAACAUAAAGGAAAGCUCGUGGCACGCGGGAAGAAAGCCGCAAUGUUAAAAAAGGAAACAUUCAAUAGAAAUAAGGACUUCAAUAGUUUGGCUUGCUGAGAAGCUCGGCGACAGGGUCGCAAAGGGCAGCCUUCAUAAGCAGCAGGCAUGGGCAAGGGUGGAGCUGGCCUUCAUCCGACCCCAGAGGAGCCUUGCAAGGUCGCUCGGUUUCUUGUGUAAUCACCAAGCAGUAUUAAACCUGGGCACAUGCAGCUUCGGUCGGCGCGGCAGGCCGAUGAUAGCAGUGUGCUGUUCUCAAGUGCGCAACGGUAGUAUGCUUCAGACGACACAACCACACAAUGGUGGUAUCGAAGGAUACCGAUUGAGACAAGUGUAUUGAAUAAAUAAUCAUCAGUGACUCCACUUGGGCCUCGCGCCGACAAGUCCCCAGUACGACUGGGCGGCGCGGUAACCCUGCCCGGGCGGCCGCCCGCCCGGCCGCCAGGGCGAUGGAUUCAGGGCGAUGACCUGGAUCCUGCACUUUUGGUACAGGGCGAUGGAUGACAUACAACAAAGGUCCCACUUGGCAAGAGAACAUAAGCCUGCCGACUUAGAACAAUUCAGUACUCCUUAAAUGAAUAAAAUGAAUAGAACGCUGCUAAAACAAUCAGUGUUGGAAAAUAUAGAUGGCGCCGCAAUGCUCACCUUCUGAUCCCCAUAAAGCCUUGAGACAGAAAGCAUAAGACAUAAUUGGAUGACGUCCCAGUAGCUUAAGUACUCAGUCCAUUGCUGGCACAUGUACAGCAAGCUGACGUAUGGAUACGCGGGAAGCCCAUGACCCAGUCUCUUGCCGUUUCGGACAUAGGGACCGUAUAGGCGUAAUGCCAGCGUCACGUGGAUAGCGAAGGCUCCCUAUGUGCGGCAUUCUUUGAUAGCGAUGAGCACGCUCGCUAGUAGCGUGCGUCUUUUUACAGACUAUCAGUAGCCGCCGCAGCUAACAGUAGCCGCAAGUAAACUAAUAUCAGUAUUAGUUAGACCUGUAAUCACCGACAGCGGACAUAUAGACAGGUAAUAGUUAGUGACAGUGAAGUUAGCAAAACAGACCAGACGAGCUCACUGCCGACAGUUAUGUGUGUGUGGUUGUUACAGUGGGCUCCAGACUCCCGAAGAGUAGAGCCAUCGGGCCAGCUGGCCGUGCACUGCAGUAGAGACUAAUAUACAAACUAGACAGUUAGGCUACGGAGCUGCAAGCUGUGCAGGCAGCUUACAGGAUACAACACUCUCGAGAGGAGCAUAUGCUAGCAUGUGCUCCUAGCCCUCUAGGGGGAUUUCAAGAAGCUCGGAGACCAGAUGCUUGAUCUGGAAAAUGAGCAACAACUCUCUCGCAUGGAGAUCAUCGAUCUCCAGGGCCGGUUCAGUAAGCUAGGAACCGACCUGAGCGGCAUCACGAUGGACGCUCCUGGAGUGAUCAGCAGCAACCGGUUCUUUUACUCGGACAGCAUCAUCAUCACGUCGGCGAGGUGUCGCGUUAGCGUCUUUUCAGGAAUUUGCAAACGCGCUAACAAACAAAUCAGUGGAGCCCGGCCCUUAUCCGUCUUUUUGUUUUCGCUUUAUUUUCUUUGUUUUUGCUUUUUCGCACUUAAGCAGCUCAUUUAUUCUGAGGAUUUCUGCUUGCCAAGUUUAAUUAAGCCGCUUAAGCCGCCCAAGCCGAAUUUCGCAUGCCCGCGGAUUUUACACACAUUGCGAGGCCCGCCGUCGCCUUCGCAUUUCGCUUUGUACGGGCAGUUUCUUCAGGUCGUACCCUGAAUCACGUUUUUGCAAGGGGCUGCAUAAAAGCUUCCGCUGAGGUUAAUGUUGAAUGCGUCUGCGCAUUUGAAAGCAGCUAGGAGAGCUUCAAACAGCGGUACAUCAAACAUCGUGCAAUUUACGAGCGCAAUACAGUGUAGAUCGGUUCGAGAAGUAAAUAUGCCGCGCUGCAGCAGCACCCUGCUGCUGCUUGUCGUAGCUGUCGCCGCUUCCGCGUUCAUCGUCGACGCAUGCGCCGCUGAUGGCGACAGCAGCCGGCGCUUGCUGGCAUCAGGUAGGUGUGCCGUCAUUCAAUCCCAUCACAUACAUACGCUUUUCCGACAUCACGUCAGUAUAUACUGUAUAUUUGCCCUGCUCUCUAAGAGGUAGGCCUCGGCACGCAUGCACGUGGGAUGGUUAAAUGUUGACAUCAUAUGUUGACAUCUGCAUGCCGACUGACCUACGAUUGCACUGAUUGCUCGGCGGUGCUGAGCGGUGCUAGAGUUGUAUCACGGCGUCAGAAAAGUAUCGAUCGGCGGGCGCAGAUCCCGUAAUAUGCCCAGAAUACAGCAGCUACACUCUUCAUUUUAUCCAUCCUAACGCUUCAAGGUAGUUUGGGGCCUUGAAGCACCUUGAUGCAGCUGAGCGGCACCUGCACCUGCCAGCUUCCGGGAGCCUUCCAGGCCUGUGGGUUUUUGCGGCCUGGCUAAAUGUAUGUGUUGCUUUUGAGGACUCCAUUUUGGCGGUUGCGAUGUGGCCGAGGGCUCCCCAGAGCGUCGGCUGGGCUCCAACUGGAAACCAACGACGUCGGCUGUUGGACUCAUCAUGUCAAAGGAUGGGGCUUCAUGACCAUUUACAAAUCAGAUAGAGAAGAUUAUAACAUGGUUAAAUUUAAUGCCCUAGGGACAGAAAGGAGGAAACGCGCUCCGCAACCCGACAAGUGAUCAGCUCUCCGCUCUGUACUGUACAUUUUGUUAUGCAGAUGGGUUAUGCAAGCUCUAAACGUGGCAACAUUCCAUAGAUGAAUAUGCAUGCUAUGAUAUGAUAUGCUAGUGAUGAAACAUAGGAUUAAAACAGAGAAAUGGUAACCGAGCGCCGUCGCCGAUGGCUUGCUAUCGUAGUACUGACGGAUAUGUCCAGUACGGCACAUACAUUAUUGCAAGCUAGCUGUUGUACACAUAAUGAACAUACGCCUGCUGCUGCGCGUCUGCUGUUGCAUCGUCCUUAUCUACCCAGCAGGCAGUCACUACACACGCACCACACUUUAGAAAAGUGCAGCAGACCUGUGGGCACAAGUGUGUUGAGGCGAUAUUUUAUGUGAGGAUCGAAUCAGCCACAGCGGCGCUGCUCCUGCUUAAGUAGGGUGUCUCCCUUGCCUCACUAAAUUUACGCAGGCUGCACGUACACGUACACCAUCCAGCCUGGUGACACCUUUUGGGCCCUCGCCCAGCGGCGCGGCACCACCGUGGACGUCAUUCAGGCCUUGAACCCGGGCGUUGUCCCCACCAGGCUGCAAGUCGGCCAGGUCAUCAAUGUGCCGUGCUCAGGAGGAGGGUACGUACGCAUGUAUGUAUGUAUGUAUGAAAUUACUGCGUGGGAAAACGAAAUAGGAGCUCAUAGGCUACAUGUGUGUGUGUGUUACAUGGUUGGGGGUGCGUGACCCCAUACCUGUAAGACUACCCAUACGAGCCGAAGGCCCAAGGGCAAUACUACAACGCCUAAAAGCCACGGAGAAAAGGAAAAAAAAAGGCUACAUGUGCUUGUACCGUAACACGCAAGCACCGCCGACCACCUAAUGUUCCAGAAUCUACCGAGUGCAGUUGGUUUAUUAAUGAUAACUGCUAUGAGUGCUGAUAUUAGUGCAUUUCCGGACACGACUUUCGGGCCACCUAUGGCCAAAAGGAAUGAACUUGUGUGGGCGGCCAGAGCGACGUGAAUCCAUUCAUUUUUCCCAAGUCCGAAAACCCCAAUUUAUUUCUUAUUUUAUUGAAUCUGAUUUCUUGUCACUAAGAGCACAGUGCCUCUAAUCAAUCCCAUACGUACCGUGUGUGCCUGCUGGAUCAGAUCAAUGCCGACCUCCACUACUCCAGCUGCCAGAGGUAAGCACAUGCACUUGCUUGCUCGCAGGUGGUGCAGAUAUAUAGACACAUGACUGCCCGUUUAGGAUUUCUUGCGUAGUUGCCUUACUGCUUAGGGGUCGUACAGACGGAGGGGUAGGAAAGUUGUGCUUUUGCUUCCGUGGGAAGGGGCGAGCCUGGUCACAAAAAAUUCGUUUCACUCAGAAAACAUACAGAUUUUAAGAUUUGUGUCAAAGUAAUAUUGUCAGAAAGAGGUGGAAUAGAUAGUAGUGUGGAAGUGGUGACGGCGGAGCCAUCGUCUGUCAUCCCCAGCAGUCCGGAGGCGAUCCAUCGUCAAUGAGAGCGCGGUGCUAUUGCGAACACAGCUGACGAAGGAGCGUUUACAAGGGGAUUACCUGGGCCUAUGGCUAGCUCGUUCUUGGGUGUCAUCCCACUUGCAUUUUGCGUUUGUUGAGUGUUUCAGAGGGAGGAGGUAAUAAAAUAAUCAUCCUUCGCAGCAAUUCUAUUGAAUCUGCAAACCCUGAACCAGCUGCUGAGUAAAUUAAAACAGUUAUGAACUAAUCAACUCGGAAGUCUCCCUCUGAGAAACACCGGACGGUACUUCGUUUAUAGCUGUUGGGUGCGACCGCUGACACCAUCCCAUAAUAUGCAUACUAUGCUAUGCUAGUGAUGAAACAGAGAAAUGGUAACAGAACGCCGUCGCCGAUGGCUUGCUAUCGUAGUAUUGACGGAUAUGUCCAGUACGGCACAUACAUUAUUGCAAGCUAGCUGUUGUACACAUAAUGAACAUACGCCUGCUGCUGCGCGUCUGCUGUUGCAUCCUCCCCAUAUACCCAACAGGCAGUCACUACACACGCACCACACUUUAGGAAAGUGCAGCAGACCUGUGGGCACAAGUGUGUUGAGGCGAUAUUUUAUGUGAGGAUCGAAUGAGCCGCAGCGGCGCUGCACUUGCUUAAGUAGGGUGUUUCCCUUGCCUCACUCAAUUUACACAGGCUGCACGUACACCAUCCAGCCUGGCGACACCUUUUGGGCCCUUGCCCAGGGGCGCGGCACCACCGUGGACGCCAUUCAGGCCUUGAACCCGGGCGUUGUCCCCACCAGGCUGCAAGUUGGCCAGGUCAUCAAUGUGCCAUGCGGCAGCAAUGGCCCUGCACCGCAAGGGUAUGUACCAUAUACGCACACAUGCAUAACACACCUGCAUGUGUGUCAUCAGGUCCCCUGUCUUCCCCCUGCCGGCUAGCUGUCCGGACUGUCCUCAGCACGGUAUAUGUGGCAUAUGUACGUGCGAUAGGAACCUCUGCGAAGGUAGAUGGGAUCAGUACUGCACGUGCAGCCAUGUGCCCUCUGCAUGCCUGUCUCCGAGGGUGUGUGUACGAACUCGACACGCUCUGCUUGCUGUUGUUGCUUCUGUGACAGAGUCUAGCUACUAUUAGACUACUAAUACCCCCCAAGCGUGUGUACACCACCCUGCCCGUCACACUUCGCCCCACUCUGUCCCCCACUGCCCGCGCAGUGGUGGUAGCAAAGUCCUUUACUCGGGAUCGGGCAGUGGCACCUACUACUACGACCUGCGCACCACGUGCCCCCAAAACCCCGGUGGCUUCCCAGAGAACAACGGCUACCCCUAUUGCGCCAGCUAUAACGCGUCUGCACCCACCUACAAGACUCUCGCUCAGCUGGGCAGUAAUAACGCCAUUGCCAUUGACCGGAAUGUGCUGUCAGCAAAUCGUGCCAGGCUGUGUGGCAAAAAAGUCCUGGUGUUCAAGAAUGGCGUUCCUGUGACGGCUCCGAACGGUGGUAGCUUCUUCGUGUGGGACGGCUGCGAGGCAUGUGUUGGCGGGGGUCGCAUUGACUUCAGUUUGAGUGGUUUGCAGGGGGCCGCCAGCAAUGCCUGUUCGCUGGGGGUGGUUCCGGGCAUCUCCUGGCAAGCGGUGGAUGAGGUGGUGCAGCGGUUUGUACCUCCGUGAUUGAUGAUGAGAACCUUAUAAUGUCCAGAUAGAUUGUUCUAUCCGUCGUACAUGCAUGGAGCGCUGGAUGCAUACACUUAUUUUCUGAGUGUCCUGGUUGAAAUAGUUGAAGAAAGACCGGCUCAUCACCGCCAUAAAUGAAAGCAGUUGUUGCGAGCGGAUUACCGUGGCUACCCUGGGCCAAACCCUGUGACAGACAACGGUAUAGACCAGGAGUGUUUAGGCCGGUGUAAAGUACCAAGGAAAGCCCCGCACCUCACACCCCGGACCGUCCCAAAUGACCAGCUAAAUGACUAAUACGAUGCUAACAAAAGGUUUUGUGGGCAAUGGCCAGAGCGGAGCAAGGUUGGCCAAGAUGCCGUACUCGUCGGUGUCGGACUCUUUCUGUGCUCAGCUGCAUAGGCUGUCAAAGCUGCUAGGGUCGUCGUAAUUUAUUCCUUAAGUGUGAGGCGCUGGGGGAAGCUCCGGGGCCCCCCAGACCCCCCACGAUAAGUCACAACUCCCCUCAUAGACCAAGAGUCACGCACUGAGUUGGCGCGUUUUCGUUCGUGUGUGAACUCUUCGUGCACGUGCGUAGAUAGUUCUGGCACUGUUUGUGAUCAAUAAGUAAAGUUGACCAAGCAAAGGCCCAAAGCAAGCAACCGCAUAGCAAAUCACAGGCCGCCACCCGCCGCUGCAAACCACAGCACACUAGGACUCUACCGGUUCAUCACGUACCGGCCCCUGCUGCUGCUGUCCAGCCACUCUCAGUGCGUCACGGAACGGGAACGUGCCCAGGUCGAACAGGUCCUGGGUAUACAUCCGCACACACAGUGCCAGGUGCUCGUCCAGGCGGUUGCGGGUGGGGUCCUGCAAGUACCCCAUUGCCGAGAACCGGCACUCUUCCUCCACCGACCCCGGCACCAUCACUAACACCAGACGGGUCCGCCUCAUUUUAUUCUUGCCAAAAUGCCUGUUUAUCCCUUUUAAGUAAUAUAUUACUUAAAAAAAACGCUGGAUGGAGAACACCGGCCGAACCAACAAAAAGAUCGAUCAUGCUCCCACCUGCUUCACCCUUGGGGAAGGUCAGACGACCCUCCAAAUCCCCAGAAACACGGCAAUUUAAUACCAGAAGUCCCUGUGAUCAGCACAGGGCACCCAACGGGUGCCCAACAAAAUCGCAGACGAGGUCCUCACUCCUACAUGCAGGCACGUCUGCAUAGCCCUGAGGGUCCGCGUCACCCGGCAAGCCCAUGAACUCCUGCAGUGCCGUCAGCUGAUCUAAAUCUGGAACAUCAUUAACAUACCCGGGCAGGUCAGCAGGCGAGGACCGGUGCUUUGCAUGCAGUGCACUGGAUAGACGGGCAUCUAGAUCACCGGCAAGCAUGACAUCCUCCCCCGGCUGCCGGAGCUCGGAAAUGUCUUGUUGGACUCUCGUGAAAGUAGCCUCUGCUGCUGCUGCAUGCUGUGCAUUAGUUGCACCUCCGGCUGGGUAUACUCUGGAAGCUUCGGGCGCAAGGUAACAGGCCCCCACCAGGAGGCUGUUUCCUGACAGGAGGUUGACACGUAUCCACAGGACCUCACAGCCUGCAAGACUGUUGUUUUUCCGGACAAUGGUAACCCCCUGGGAGACGGUAUCAUGCACGUAAAGAGCAACCCCGCCAUAGUCAGCGUGUACGGCGUCUCCUGACCUCUGCACCCGCAUCACGCGGAAACCUUCAAGGAACACGUCACUGUCUGGCACUGCAUCCGUUAAGUGUGCUUCGGUAGCAAUGAUGAUCACAUGGCUAGUCACAAAAUACUUAACUCCAGCAUGGCCAAGUUUUAUGACCCCUGUCUCCGGCAACCCAUAGACAUUCCACAACAAAACCUUCAAUCCUCUUUGCCCUGGGCUCGCGUUAUCCUAGUAUCCACUUCAGCAGGCAGGCCUGCAAACCGGUCAGCACUAGUAUGCUCGCCAGCCUGGUCAUGAGGUCGGUUAUCAGCUCUGCUGCUGGGCCCUGCAUGUCCCUCCCGGCUUCUAAUUGUUCCCUUGUCAACCCCAGAGCUUCAACUCCCACCACGGCUGUCUCGAUCCUGGUCCUUUGCACUCCUCCGCCCAGAGUGAAGCCGUCAAUGUCCAUGGUGGGGCCGGUGGCAAAGCUGGGCCUCGAAUCCCGAGGUGCUGGUGCCUGGUUUCGGGACUGGUCAAGCCUUCUAGGUGAUGCUGAGUACAUGAGCCUGUAUACUGGCUCUGUGCGUGGGUAUUUGCCUCCUUUUGCCUUUACUGCACUCAGUGAAGCCACGUGUGUUUCUCGGAUCUUCAUACCCAGCUGCUGUCUGUAAGACGGUGGAGCUGGUGGUGGGGCGGCUGGUGAUGAUGCCAUUGGCAUGGGAGGUGGUGGUGGCGGUGGUGGUGGUGGUGGCAUGCUGCCACCGGCAGCGGCACCACUGCUACCAGUAACACCGACUCCGCCUGUAUGGCCCUCAGAAGGCAUAUUUACAGCGUCGUCAUCAUUCUCAGCAUCCAUUCUCCGCCUUCUCCACCAUCGCUGUCGUCGUCACUGUACUGACUUGGGUAUGGCACCGGUGCUCCCCCGUUCGGUCUCUUCUUGUAAUACAGCUCCGCCCCGUUACACCACAUGGGGAUCCACUGCUUCACCUUAAUCACCUGCCACAUGGGCCGUAGCCUUGACCUUUCAGCACGCACUUCCUUGGUGAGCGAGUCGUCUACCCGAAGACCCAACCUUUUCAGGUCAGGUGCAGCAUUAAAGUAUUUGGACCGGUCUUUCCACCUGAUGUCAAUGAACCAGCUCUUCGUGUUGCGAUCUGGCCUCUCAAUAUGAGUGAGAAGACCGCUUGGCCAUUGCCCACAAAACCUUUUGUUAGCAUCGUAUUAGUCAUUUAGCUGGUCAUUUGGGACGGUCCGGGCUGUGCGGUGCGGGGCUUUCCUUGGUACUUUACACCGGCCUAAACACUCCUGGUCUAUACCGUGUGUCUGUUACAGGGUUUGGCCCAGGGUAGCCACAGUAAUCCGCUCGCAACAACUGCUUUCAUUUAUGGCGGUGAUGAGCCGGUCUUUCUUCAACUAUUUCAACCAUGACACUCAGGAAAUAAGUGUAUGCAUCCACGCAUGUAUCCAUGCAUGUACGACGGAUAGAACAAUCUAUCUGGACAUUAUAAGGUUCUCAUCAUCAAUCACGGAGGUACAAACUGCUGCACCACCUCAUCCACCACUUGCCAGGAGAUGCCCGGAACCACCCCCAGCGAACAGGCAUCGCUAGCCGCCCGCUGCAAACCACUCAAACUGAAGUCAAUGCGACCCCCGCCAACACAUGCCUCGCAGCCGUCCCACACGAAGAAGCUACCACCGUCCGGAGCCGUCACAGGAACGCCAUCCUUGAACACCAGGAUCUUUUUGCCACACAGCCCGGCACGAUUUGCUGACAGCACAUUGCGGUCAAUGGCAAUGACGUUAUUACUGCCCAGCUGAGCGAGAGUCUUGUAGGUGGGUGCAGACGGGUCAUAGCUGGCGCAAUAGGGGUAGCCGUUGUUCUCUGGGAAGCCGCCGGGGUUUUGGGGGCACGUGGUGCGCAGGUCGUAGUAGUAGGUGCCACUGCCUGAUCCCGAGUAAAGGACUUUGC
RNAcentral lists this long non-coding RNA (15125 nucleotides) under Volvox carteri. Its description in RNAcentral is "long non-coding RNA (VCAR_LNC003038)". Lineage: Eukaryota; Viridiplantae; Chlorophyta; Chlorophyceae; Chlamydomonadales; Volvocaceae. The record is from RNAcentral.